GGCUGGUGUUCUAACGUAGACCCGUGAACCGGGUUGCGGACAGUGUCUGGUGGGUAGUUUGACUGGGGCGGUCUCCUCCUAAAGCGUAACGGAGGAGCACGAAGGUUGGCUAAUCCUGGUCGGACAUCAGGAGGUUAGUGCAAUGGCAUAAGCCAGCUUGACUGCGAGCGUGACGGCGCGAGCAGGUGCGAAAGCAGGUCAUAGUGAUCCGGUGGUUCUGAAUGGAAGGGCCAUCGCUCAACGGAUAAAAGGUACUCCGGGGAUAACAGGCUGAUACCGCCCAAGAGUUCAUAUCGACGGCGGUGUUUGGCACCUCGAUGUCGGCUCAUCACAUCCUGGGGCUGAAGUAGGUCCCAAGGGUAUGGCUGUUCGCCAUUUAAAGUGGUACGCGAGCUGGGUUUAGAACGUCGUGAGACAGUUCGGUCCCUAUCUGCCGUGGGCGCUGGAGAACUGAGGGGGGCUGCUCCUAGUACGAGAGGACCGGAGUGGACGCAUCACUGGUGUUCGGGUUGUCAUGCCAAUGGCACUGCCCGGUAGCUAAAUGCGGAAGAGAUAAGUGCUGAAAGC
This 567-nucleotide ribosomal RNA is filed under the name Salmonella enterica. RNAcentral's name for it is "partial 23S ribosomal RNA". It matches the Rfam family "Bacterial large subunit ribosomal RNA", at positions 2212 to 2778 of the family's 2925-position model. Lineage: Bacteria; Pseudomonadati; Pseudomonadota; Gammaproteobacteria; Enterobacterales; Enterobacteriaceae. The record is from RNAcentral.